GUGGGGAUGUAAAUGUGGAAGUACAUCGGG
RNAcentral lists this non-coding RNA (30 nucleotides) under Homo sapiens (human). The record is from RNAcentral. Lineage: Eukaryota; Metazoa; Chordata; Mammalia; Primates; Hominidae.